Brassica napus (rape) is the source of this 3083-nucleotide long non-coding RNA. RefSeq lists it as uncharacterized. The transcript has 7 exons. NCBI's taxonomy places the organism in Eukaryota, Viridiplantae, Streptophyta, Magnoliopsida, Brassicales, Brassicaceae. The record is from RefSeq and is a predicted model, not a curated record.
UCGAGCGAACAUCCGACGGUGGUGACAACAGCCGCCGUCAAAUACGACCGGGUUAUAAUCGGCAUCUGUUUGUACCAUUCUUCUACAGCUUGAGCCAUGCCCAAUCGAAUUCAAUCCCGAUCACAAAGAGCAAUUGAACCCAGAGAUUCUUUAAAUUCAAAACCUAAUCGAAUCUCUAGAAGCUUCAACGUUGAAAUGAUUUGAAGCAGCUUUGAAUUUUCGAAAGCGACUGAUAUAAAGAUGAUUCAGAGAUUUACCUCUCUUUUUUUCCUUUGUCUAGAUAAUAAAUAUUAUUUCCGCAUUUUAAAAUAUAAUAGUUUCAACGAAUGACAUAGCGCGAGUACUUUAAACUCGGAUUCCGGGUUCCAGAUUUUAUGCCCAGCCCUGAUUGGUACCGACGUUUUCGUCGAAAUCGUGCCGGUUUACUUUAUUCGGUAACGAAGUCAUGCCGUUUUGCAAAAGAUGAAAACGGCGGGACGUUAUUUGGCUUCGUAGAGACGCUGGCGUCAGGAGCCUCUUGUGGUUGGUUCGUUUGAUACACGCGCUAUUUAAGGGAAUGUGGAUUGACAUGGAUGUGUUUAGAAAUUUAGAAUUAUUUAAUUUAGAAAUUAUGUUUUUUGAAUUGUUGAGAAAAAUUGCGUUAGAAAUUAUGUUUUUCUAACAAUACUAAAAAAAGAAUAUACUCUACUCUAAAACUAUCCACAUCAGAUUAAAUAAUCCACCAAUCAAAAUACAUUUAAGUGUCCUAUCAUUUCUAAAUUACCACAUCAAUUUUCUUAAGACAAUUGCGCUUCUCCGAAAAAUAAUUAAUCAUAGACCUUUGCCUUUCUUCUUCUUCCAAAACGAAAAAGUUAUAACUCUUAUUUUGCUUUCACUUUCCAAACUGUUUUCUUUUUCUCUUCCCUCUCCAUUAAUUUUGUUUCAGAUUUCUAAUUAUAACAUUGAUUCUUAUCGAACCACCUUGAAAUCACCUCCUUCGGUCAAAAAAGAAAGAAUCAAUGGUGAUGAGUCUCAUAGAUGAGUGAUGGUCGUGUAAUCAUAUUCAUGUCCUCAUAAUCAGCUUUGCAUCAAGAAGAAGCUGAGAGUAACCGAUACAUCUAUUUUAAGUAUUUCCCCAAAUCUUAUUUAUCCUCUACUUGAAACAAUGGAGACCAAAGAAGAGAAGAAGAUCCUCACAGAGGAAAAACUUGAACGGAAGAAAAGAAGGCUGUCAAGGAAGCUAUUGAAGGAGGGAUAUAGAUCUUUCCAACUGUUCGAUCCUCUUGUAUUGUGCAGCAUGUGAAACCAGAGGAAGGAUAUGCUCCAGAACCAAUUGAUGUUCGAAGGAUAUUAUAUGCAGACAUUCUCUCAAAUGGAGGGGAAGUCGCAUUACAAUAGAUGGUCCAGUUGAUCCUGGUUGGUUUUACAAAAACCAUCCACGAUUCAAAAUUUUAAGUGGCAGUAAGGUGAAUGAUGGGCUUAUCGAACUGCAGAUUCUUGCUUGGAAUCCCGAGUAGAGUCUCUGAUUCAAAAUUCAAACAGUGAAUUCAGCGUGAUUAUAUUACAGAUGAAUGAACAAGACUGCAUCCUGAUCUCAUGUCUUUACCCUUGGAAGACGAGAAUAAAAUUAUCUCUAGGAUGGAUCACAAAGGCAAGAGAAAUGUAAUUGACAUAUAUGCAGCUCUGUGGAGGUAGAGGCAAUAUUAAAGCUCAUGCCAAGGCAUUGUUCGGGCAACCAGAAAAGAGCCUAAAUUUCUAACCUUUUUAGUCAGAACAAACAAGAGCGUAACGCAGCCAUAGUCCUUGCUCGCUCUUUUGAUUGCAAUGUAAGAAAAACUAUUCAAAAUGUAAAAUCUUCUGUUAAAAUUAUAUUCUCAGACAUUGAAAAUCACUGUGGAUUUAUUUACACAAUACAGUUUUAAAUAUGUGAGUUGAGGCUUAUAUGCAGGUAACACUGCUUGGGCUAAGAUGAUCAAACAAUGGUGAAUGAGCCAUUGUCAUUAACCACAACCACCAUUUUUAUUGUUGUGUGUGUCGUUUGUUUUUUCACCGUGGUUCAAAGAAGGAAGGUGAAGUCUGGGCUCUCACGAGCAUAGGGUUUCAUUAUAAGCAGCAGAUUUCAUUUUUACUUUUUUUUUUAAUAUGGAUCAUCGUUUUAAUUUGGUUGCCAUCUCUUAUUUGUUUUGGUUUGUUCUUGAAUUUGGAUUAUAUUGUCAAAUAUAUGGUCAGGUCUCUUGUGGUUGAAUCAAUAGUCUAAUGAAUUUGUGGGUUAUCUAUACUUCUGAAACAUAUGAGCUUCCACGCUACUUCAGGGGCAUAGUUGGUCGUGUGGCAAACUGGAUCUAAGACGGCAAAUGUAGACUCAGCGGAUUCGACCCAUCAAUAAGCCUCUAAACAGCCUCCAUGAAGACGGUGAAAGACCUUUCAUCACUUUCAAAUAUCACAUAUCUGGUCGAGAAGAAGGUCCAUACAUCUAUAUAUGGGAUUAACGUUGAGGAAAAGAUCUUUUUUCAUCAUUAUCUUAUACCUCUUGGAUAGAUUAUCCUGGUGCAGUUUCUAACACACUGACAUACAUUCUCAUGUCAGAAACUACCAUGAAACUUAACAUGGAGGCAUCUGAAGAGAACAAAAACACUCCAAUUAACUUAGCUCAGAAUACGUACUGGAACUUGCCGGGUAAUGACUCAUGGAACAUUCUUGACCACAUGAUACAGAUUUGGGGUCCACAUAUCACCCUUGAUCCACACACAGAUCAUGCGAGAUCCUUACGGGAAAAGGAUCUCCUUUCGCUUUCACCACAAGAAAUGGAUAGGCGAGUCUACAGGAGAGGUGGGUAUUGGAUAUGAUCAUAACUACGUAUUGGAAUAUCCUGAUCAAGAGAAGGACGGGCUGAAACAUGCAACAAAGCUGAAGGACUGUGCGAGUGAACAAGUGGUUUUACAUGGAUGUGGUUUAGGUAACUGAUUGGAAUUACUGGCCGUUUAAAUUAUUUAUGUCUUCAUAUAUAUAUAAAUUUUAAAAGUCACGGUUACUAUAUAUUUACAAGGAGACUUGAAUUUUUCCAGAGACAUGUUCAUUUUCUCAUUCAAAAAUAAUAUUCCAAA